Molecule: non-coding RNA, 45 nt
Organism: Schistosoma margrebowiei
Lineage: Eukaryota; Metazoa; Platyhelminthes; Trematoda; Strigeidida; Schistosomatidae
Source: Rfam
AUCUAGUUGACGAGUCCCAAAUAGGAUGAAACGUGCAUCGUGGAU